RNAcentral lists this ribosomal RNA (641 nucleotides) under Helix kazouiniana. Its description in RNAcentral is "partial small subunit ribosomal RNA". The record is from RNAcentral. Lineage: Eukaryota; Metazoa; Mollusca; Gastropoda; Stylommatophora; Helicidae.
CCAAAAACGGUAUACCCUUUAAAGACAUUUGUUAUUGUGCUACCUUUGUAUGUUGUUCUACAUCAUGGAUUUUACUGAUUUGCCAGUUGAGAAAAUUUAUAAUCUAAGACAUUAGGAAUAUGAUACCACCUUAUUAACGACUAUUAAAGUGCCAGCAGUCGCGGUCACACUUUAGUUAAAUAUAAAGAUAAACAGGAUACAGGAAAGUAACAAAACUCCUGUAGUGAAAUACGGACACCGUAAUACUUUAUUACUUAUAUAUUAUAUAAAAUACUGAUGGCAAACAGGGAUUAGAUACCCCUUUAUGCAGUACACAUAACUGUAUCCUGGGCAUUACGAUCAUCAGAUUAAAACCCAACUAACAUGGCGGUAGUUUAAACAUUUAGGGGAACUUACUAGAUAAUUGAUAACCACCAAGAAUAUAUACGUUAAGUAAGAUUUUAUAUACCGUCGUCGUCAGAUAUACUAAAAUAGAAUAUCGUAAUAUACUAAAUAAUAAGACAGAUCAAGGUGUAGACAACCUUAACGCCUUAGCGAGUUACAAUAUAAUUUUUUUUCGGGACCAGCUAUAAUGCUCGUUAAAGGCGGACUUAAAAGUAAUAACAAAUGACACUAAACUAUGAAUACUUUUUAAACUGUGC